Molecule: ribosomal RNA, 253 nt
Filed under: uncultured bacterium
Lineage: Bacteria
Description: partial 16S ribosomal RNA
Rfam family: Bacterial small subunit ribosomal RNA
Source: RNAcentral
UACGUAUGGUGCAAGCGUUAUCCGGAUUUACUGGGCGUAAAGGGAGCGCAGGCGGCGCGCCAAGUCUGAUGUGAAACCCCGGGGCUCAACCCCGGGCAUGCAUUGGAAACUGGCGGGCUGGAGUGCCGGAGAGGUAAGCGGAAUUCCUAGUGUAGCGGUGAAAUGCGUAGAUAUUAGGAGGAACACCAGUGGCGAAAGCGGCUCUCUGGCCUGUAACUGACACUGAGACUCGAAAGCGUGGGGAGCAAACAGG